Molecule: transfer RNA, 60 nt
Filed under: Tetragnatha macilenta
Lineage: Eukaryota; Metazoa; Arthropoda; Arachnida; Araneae; Tetragnathidae
Description: tRNA-Val
Source: RNAcentral
GAGAAAAAGUAAUAAUUUUAAAAUCUUUCCAUUAACUAAAUUAUUUUUUUUUUUAAAAAU